CCAGGCUGGUCUUGAACUCCUGACCUCAAGUGAUCUGCCCGUCCCAGGCCUCCUAAAGUGUUGGGAUUACAGGCGUGAGCCAUUGUGCCCGGCAAGAGAGGCUUUCUUAAUUUCCCUUCUCAACGACCUGUUAAUUAAUCUUCCUCUUCAAACCCUGCUAUUGGUGAAGCCAGUCGGGUUUCUUACUUUGCUCUUUUGCCGAGUCAGGAGCCAGCUGGAAUGGGUUCAGCUUGUCUUUACUCUCCCCUGAGUCACUUCGAGUUUGGUUCUACUGAUCUACAGGAAGCUUCUUCCCACCACUGAAUUCAAGGGACAGUCUUCCCAUAUGUCUUUACCAGCUCUCGCAAAUGAAGACAGAGCCUGUCUAUGUCAUUCAGACUGGCCUCAAACUCCAGGGCUCAACAAAGCCUCCUGCCUCAACUUCCCCAGUAGCUGGGACUACAGGUAUAUGCUCAGCUUCAAUUAUUUUUGUAUUAGUUUGCCAGGGCUGUUAUAACAAAGUGCCACCAACUGGGUGGCUUAGACAACAGAAAUUUAUUGCUUCACAGUUCUGGAGGCUGGACGUCCAAAAUCAAGGUGUUGGUAGAAUUGGUUCCUUCUGAGGACUGUGAGGAAGGAAUCUGUUCCAAGCCUCUCUCCUUGGCUUAUGGAUGACCAUCUUCUCCCUGUUCCUCUUCAGAUUGUCUUUCUUCUAUGUAUGUCUGUGUCAAAAUUUCCCCUUUUUAUAAGAAUGCCAGGU
Homo sapiens (human) is the source of this 739-nucleotide long non-coding RNA. Ensembl annotates it as long intergenic non-protein coding RNA 2866. The record is from Ensembl. NCBI's taxonomy places the organism in Eukaryota, Metazoa, Chordata, Mammalia, Primates, Hominidae.